GAACGCCGUAUGAGGUGAAAGCUUCACGUACGGUGUGAACGGGGGAAAAGGAAGCGAUAACUUCAAAUCCUUACCUAUCCGUAU
Molecule: non-coding RNA, 84 nt
Organism: Anaerobacillus alkalilacustris
Lineage: Bacteria; Bacillati; Bacillota; Bacilli; Caryophanales; Bacillaceae
Source: Rfam